CCCUUAGACGUUCUGGGCCGCACGCGCGCUACACUGACCAGUGCAACAAGCAUCCGUCCUUGGCCGACAGGCCCGGGCAAUCUUUGAACGCUGGUCGUGAUGGGGAUAGACUUUUGCAAUUUUUGGUCUUCAACGAGGAAUUCCUAGUAAACGCAAGUCAUCAACUUGCAUUGAUUACGUCCCCGCCCUUUGUACACACCGCCCGUCGCACCUACCGAUUGAAUGGUCCGGUGAAGCCUCCGGAUUGGCGCGCACCUCGGUGCCGCCGAGAAGUUGGCUAAACCUUACCAUUUAGAGGAAGGUGAAGUCGUANCA
RNAcentral lists this ribosomal RNA (315 nucleotides) under uncultured eukaryote. Its description in RNAcentral is "partial 18S ribosomal RNA". It matches the Rfam family "Eukaryotic small subunit ribosomal RNA", at positions 1470 to 1796 of the family's 1831-position model. The record is from RNAcentral.